Macrobrachium nipponense is the source of this 401-nucleotide long non-coding RNA. RefSeq lists it as uncharacterized. NCBI's taxonomy places the organism in Eukaryota, Metazoa, Arthropoda, Malacostraca, Decapoda, Palaemonidae. The transcript has 3 exons. The record is from RefSeq and is a predicted model, not a curated record.
UGUCUGCAGAAUUAUGUGCAAUCCGUAAUAGUUCUUGCAGCGGCGUCACUGUUCAGUAUGACGGAGGUCAGCUCACAUGUACUUUCAGCCGUGAUGAAGUUCACGUUGAAAUCUUGUUUGGAGAUCUAAUGCCAAUACUUGGAUCUUUAAUGUUACUACGACUACAACAACUCCAAUUACCCCUACUAUUACUACCACUAGUACUUCUACUAUUACUCCCUCUACGACCACAACAACUACUCCAUCAACAUCUUUAACAACUACAGAUACAACUACAACUCUAACUACUACUACAACUCCCACAACUUCAACUACUACAGAUAUUUCAACUUCAACAACUUCUACUGGUACAACUACAACUACUACAACUACAACCACCACGACCCCAACUACGACCACAG